GACGAACGCUGGCGGCGUGCUUAACACAUGCAAGUCGAACGGAAAGGCCCUGCUUGCAGGGUACUCGAGUGGCGAACGGGUGAGUAACACGUGGGUGAUCUGCCCUGCACUUCGGGAUAAGCCUGGGAAACUGGGUCUAAUACCGGAUAGGAGCCAUUUUUAGUGUGAUGGUUGGAAAGUUUUUUCGGUGUAGGAUGAGCUCGCGGCCUAUCAGCUUGUUGGUGGGGUAAUGGCCUACCAAGGCGGCGACGGGUAGCCGGCCUGAGAGGGUGGACGGCCACAUUGGGACUGAGAUACGGCCCAGACUCCUACGGGAGGCAGCAGUGGGGAAUAUUGCACAAUGGGCGCAAGCCUGAUGCAGCGACGCCGCGUGGGGGAUGACGGCCUUCGGGUUGUAAACUCCUUUCGCUAGGGAUGAAGCUUUUGUGACGGUACCUAGAUAAGAAGCACCGGCUAACUACGUG
Molecule: ribosomal RNA, 464 nt
Filed under: uncultured bacterium
Lineage: Bacteria
Description: partial 16S ribosomal RNA
Rfam family: Bacterial small subunit ribosomal RNA
Source: RNAcentral